UUUGUCUCGUUGCGUCGUCGCCUUCUUUCUGUUAUUUCAUUUUCGGAAAAAUUUUGACGUGUAAUUUCUUACGAAUUUUUCGUAACGCCUCGAAUAGAUACUGAGGUGCAUUAUAUGUACGUACAUACGUAGUAAAAUAAACAACUUUUAAAUGAGCGAUGACCUACUUGAAUUAUCGCAUUUGGAUCGAAAUUUCGAAAAUUGUCUAUCUAUUAUUGUCAUAUCGAAUGUUUUCCUUGUUAUUUUUCUUCGCUUGUAAGUAUUUUUUUUUCUAAAUGUCAAAUAAUUUUACCAAUGAUUUGACAGCAUUGAGAAAUAACGCGUCUUUCUCGUUAUAGUUUCCUCGUUGUUCAGCCUUAUACGCUUCAUAAGAUAAGGAAAAUAGGCUACCCACAUACCUACCUAACGCUACCUACUUACGUACAGGAAUAAAAAUUUACAUAAUUUUUUCCUUCUUUUACUUUACGAAAUUUUUUUCGCCCAUUUUCAAUGCAAAACAGGAAAAAUUGCGGGUUUUUUCAUCAAUGAGAAUUAUUUGAAGUUGCGAAUUCCAUAUUUCGUGUUAUCAUAAUAAAUUAUUUUUUACUAAAGAAAAAAAUCUUUUGAACUCUGUGGUUUCAAAAUGAAGGAAACUUGAAUACUAAAUUUUUAGCAACGUAAUCUGUAUGAUUUUUCGAUUUUUGGUAAUUAAAAAAAAUUCACGACCAACUUCCAACUAAAAAUAGUUCCAGCCUUAUUUGAAAUUUUCCAUUUAAAAAAAAACAAAAAACAAAAAGGUUGCGUUUUUUGAAACUUUUGUUCUUUUAGGAUGUUUCUUAACAUAAAGAUCAACUUUUGGGAGAAAAGAAACAGAUAUGUAACCUUACUUCCUUAUUUUUUCGAUCACAGAAGCCUCAAUCCACGAUUAAGAGACCACGAAGAGAUACAACCCUAUACGUAAUUUCCCAUCUUAUUAUCGUUCUUAUAGCUCAGAAGCUCAUUUGAAAAAAAAAAGUGUAUACCUGUACUUAUCCAGCAGCCUACGUAGUCCUAUAUAUUCCUAUUAUGAAUUUAGGUUACUGUACCGAUGAGAAUUCUCUUCAUGAUGAAGAUUUGCGGUUUCCUUUACGAGUGUAACUUAUACCUACCCGUAAAUAUUGGAAAAUUACCCUCUAAAAAUAAAAAUUAGCUUUUCACGUUAACACCCCAACGGGCACAUUCUGAAAAUAAUGUUGGAGGCGAAUUUCGGUGCAAAGACGAUGAGAUGAUGUGUGUGGAGAAAUCUGACGAAAGCGAUGAAAAUUGAAAACUACAUCGUAUCGUUGCUUAUCAAAAGAGACGAGAUAGGUACCCUUUUGUCAGUUUGUGUAAGGUAAAUGUUCAACUUCAACCUGUCAACGAAUGAUACAUUUUCGCCGAUUCUCUAAUAAUUAAUGAAAUUUCCAGUUAAAUAAUAACCGAUAGGUAUAUCAAACAACGAAGGUUUAUUCAGCGGAUCGUUCAGUCGUUGAUAUUUACUUACUCUAGAAGUUUUCGUAUGAUAUCCCCGCACAUUUAAAAAAAGCAACCAUUUUAGAUGCGUGAUGAAUAUACUGUCAGAAUUCGAACCAUAAGUUAACCUUAUUUUUACCCUCAUCAAAGUCAUUACGUUUUCGAUAUUGAUUUCAUUUCUUUUCAGUUUUUUUUCCUCUGCAAAAUUCUAAAAAUAAUAAAAUUGUAUCUAUUGGAACCUAAUUAUUUAGGACUCAAAUGACUGGACAUUACCUAUAUUUUUAAUUCAGAAUGAGCAAGCUUAUAUCGCAAUUGCAGUCAGAAUAUAAAUCACGUUACAUGAUUCGAAGAUUUAAAUAGCAAUGGGCGCCGAAAUUUAUGAAAUACAAGUGUACGAAGCUGGGUAUACCUACUUAUUUCUUGAUUAAUAUGGCUCGGAUGAUGUUGAUACUCAACGUUAUGUGAAGUGUGAUGAAUACCAGAUCUUAUUUUUCUCAAGCUACGAGUACCUUGAAAACUAAACGUGCAUUAUCGUACGUCCUUUAUUCGUCUAUAAAAUGUAAUAUUGAAAUGAAAAUGACUGUAUACGUAGGUAUAGGAAUAUCAGCUUUAUUAACAUGAG
Planococcus citri (citrus mealybug) is the source of this 2092-nucleotide long non-coding RNA. RefSeq lists it as uncharacterized. The transcript is spliced from 2 exons. NCBI's taxonomy places the organism in Eukaryota, Metazoa, Arthropoda, Insecta, Hemiptera, Pseudococcidae. The record is from RefSeq and is a predicted model, not a curated record.